This 563-nucleotide ribosomal RNA is filed under the name Erwinia sp. Its description in RNAcentral is "bacterial SSU rRNA". It matches the Rfam family "Bacterial small subunit ribosomal RNA", at positions 94 to 653 of the family's 1533-position model. Lineage: Bacteria; Pseudomonadati; Pseudomonadota; Gammaproteobacteria; Enterobacterales; Erwiniaceae. The record is from RNAcentral.
AGUGGCGGACGGGUGAGUAAUGUCUGGGAAACUGCCCGAUGGAGGGGGAUAACUACUGGAAACGGUAGCUAAUACCGCAUAACGUCUUCGGACCAAAGUGGGGGACCUUCGGGCCUCACACCAUCGGAUGUGCCCAGAUGGGAUUAGCUAGUAGGUGGGGUAAUGGCUCACCUAGGCGACGAUCCCUAGCUGGUCUGAGAGGAUGACCAGCCACACUGGAACUGAGACACGGUCCAGACUCCUACGGGAGGCAGCAGUGGGGAAUAUUGCACAAUGGGCGCAAGCCUGAUGCAGCCAUGCCGCGUGUAUGAAGAAGGCCUUCGGGUUGUAAAGUACUUUCAGCGGGGAGGAAGGCGAUGAGGUUAAUAACCUUGUCGAUUGACGUUACCCGCAGAAGAAGCACCGGCUAACUCCGUGCCAGCAGCCGCGGUAAUACGGAGGGUGCAAGCGUUAAUCGGAAUUACUGGGCGUAAAGCGCACGCAGGCGGUCUGUCAAGUCGGAUGUGAAAUCCCCGGGCUUAACCUGGGAACUGCAUUCGAAACUGGCAGGCUAGAGUCUUGUA